RNAcentral lists this ribosomal RNA (497 nucleotides) under uncultured bacterium. RNAcentral describes it as "partial 16S ribosomal RNA". It matches the Rfam family "Bacterial small subunit ribosomal RNA", at positions 28 to 507 of the family's 1533-position model. The record is from RNAcentral.
GAUGAACGCUGGCGGCGUGCCUAAUACAUGCGAGUCGAGCGAACGGACGAGAAGCUUGCUUCUCUGAUGUUAGCGGCGGACGGGUGAGUAACACGUGGAUAACCUACCUAUAAGACUGGGAUAACUUCGGGAAACCGGAGCUAAUACCGGAUAAUAUUUUGAACCGCAUGGUUCAAAAGUGAAAGACGGUCUUGCUGUCACUUAUAGAUGGAUCCGCGCUGCAUUAGCUAGUUGGUAAGGUAACGGCUUACCAAGGCAACGAUGCAUAGCCGACCUGAGAGGGCGAUCGGCCACACUGGAACUGAGACACGGUCCAGACUCCUACGGGAGGCAGCAGUAGGGAAUCUUCCGCAAUGGGCGAAAGCCUGACGGAGCAACGCCGCGUGAGUGAUGAAGGUCUUCGGAUCGUAAAACUCUGUUAUUAGGGAAGAACAUAUGUGUAAGUAACUGUGCACAUCUUGACGGUACCUAAUCAGAAAGCCACGGCUAACUACGUG